RNAcentral lists this ribosomal RNA (253 nucleotides) under uncultured bacterium. RNAcentral's name for it is "partial 16S ribosomal RNA". It matches the Rfam family "Bacterial small subunit ribosomal RNA", at positions 524 to 776 of the family's 1533-position model. The record is from RNAcentral.
UACGUAGGGUGCGAGCGUUAAUCGGAAUUACUGGGCGUAAAGCGUGUGUAGGCGGAUUGGUAAGUACCUUGUGAAAUCCCACGGCUUAACCGUGGAACUGCUUGGUAUACUGCUUAUCUUGGGCCACUUAGGGGUUACCGGAACAAACGGUGGAGCGGUGAAAUGCGUAGAUAUCGUUUGGAACGCCAAUGGUGAAAACAGGUAACUGGGAGUGUGCCGACGCUGAGACACGAAAGCCAGGGGAGCGAACGGG